UGGGGAAUCUUGCACAAUGGGCGAAAGCCUGAUGCAGCGACGCCGCGUGGGGGAUGAAGGCCUUCGGGUUGUAAACUCCUUUCGCUAGGGACGAAGAUGUAUUUUGACGGUACCUGGAGAAGAAGCACCGGCUAACUACGUGCCAGCAGCCGCGGUAAUACGUAGGGUGCGAGCGUUGUCCGGAAUUACUGGGCGUAAAGAGCUCGUAGGUGGUUUGUCACGUCGUCUGUGAAAUCCCGAGGCUUAACUUCGGGCGUGCAGGCGAUACGGGCAUAACUUGAGUGCUGUAGGGGAGACUGGAAUUCCUGGUGUAGCGGUGAAAUGCGCAGAUAUCAGGAGGAACACCAAUGGCGAAGGCAGGUCUCUGGGCAGUAACUGACGCUGAGGAGCGAAAGCAUGGGUAGCGAACAGG
Molecule: ribosomal RNA, 412 nt
Filed under: uncultured bacterium
Lineage: Bacteria
Description: bacterial SSU rRNA
Rfam family: Bacterial small subunit ribosomal RNA
Source: RNAcentral